GACGAACGCUGGCGGCGUGCUUAACACAUGCAAGUCGAACGGAAAGGCCCUGCUUUUGUGGGGUGCUCGAGUGGCGAACGGGUGAGUAACACGUGAGUAACCUGCCCUUGACUUUGGGAUAACUUCAGGAAACUGGGGCUAAUACCGGAUAGGAGCUCCUGCUGCAUGGUGGGGGUUGGAAAGGUUCGGCGGUUGGGGAUGGACUCGCGGCUUAGCAGCUUGUUGGGGGGGUAGUGGCUUACCAAGGCUUUGACGGGUAGCCGGCCUGAGAGGGUGACCGGCCACACUGGAACGGAGACACGGACAAUACUACUACGAGAGGGCCCAGUAGCGAAUCGUCGGCAGUGGGCGAAAGCCUGACGGAGCAACGCGGCGUGAGUGAUAACAGCCUUCGGAUCGUGAAGCUCUGUUAUUGGGUGAAAACCACUUUGUACGUAACUGUGGCGGUAUUGACGGUACCGGAUCAAAAAGCCCCGGCUAACUACGUG
This 488-nucleotide ribosomal RNA is filed under the name uncultured bacterium. RNAcentral's name for it is "partial 16S ribosomal RNA". It matches the Rfam family "Bacterial small subunit ribosomal RNA", at positions 28 to 507 of the family's 1533-position model. The record is from RNAcentral.